Long non-coding RNA from Cicer arietinum (chickpea), 2490 nucleotides. RefSeq lists it as uncharacterized. NCBI's taxonomy places the organism in Eukaryota, Viridiplantae, Streptophyta, Magnoliopsida, Fabales, Fabaceae. The record is from RefSeq and is a predicted model, not a curated record.
UCGUAACCCUUUUUUUACCAAACCCAAUUUGCCGCGUCAAAUUUGCAUCAUUACAAUUUCUCUCCAAUUUUCAAUUCUUAGUUUCAUGAACGGGUCAUCGAUCUGUUUCUCAUAACAUCGUUAGAGUUCUACAAAAUAUGUUUCACUUAUGAAAAUUCUCAUUCAAUCAAGUCGCGAAUCUGCCACCGUGAGAUAUCGGUUGAUCCGCGAAUGAUCGUGUGUUUUUCUGCGAGGUUCGUGUUUGAAUCGGAGCAAUUAACACGGAAUCAAUUGUAUAAUUGUAGAAUGUAUGGUAACAAUCGUUUAGGAUAUUAAUUAAAUUUUGUAUCCCUUUCAAAUUCGGUUGGCGAGAUCAGAAGUUUAGGCUUAGCAACACAAGGUAUUUGACAAUUUGUUGUGUUUCUAUGUUAUUAAUUUGUUAAUUGUGAAUGGAUCUUUGCUAUGUCAGGUGCGCUUGCAUAGCAGAUCCGAAAAAUCUUAAUAAAAUUGAAGUUAUUUUGUUUUGAGAGGGGAGAGAUAGGUUUGGGGAUUUUUUUUUAUUUUUUUCCCCAACCUAUUUUUCUUUCCCUCUGUUGUGCGUGUGUGUCUUGUGUCUUCUCCUUUCUCUUUUCUAUUCUGUUAUUUUUUUCUUCUUUUAAUCUUCAAUGCACCCCACCGCACCGCACAUGAUAUGAUUCUAAUCAAUAAUAUCUCGUCGUUACAAAACCUAAUUCAACAAGUAAUCGCCGGCGUGUUGAUAGAUAAGGUAAUAUAAAAAGGACAUGAUUAUUUUAAUGUUAAAUAUUUUAAAAACUGUUUUAUACUAACAAUUAACUCGCAUACUAAAUUCAUGACAUUAUUUUACGGUGUAUUUGAUUAAAUUGAACGAUAUGGCUUUUAAUUCUACGAUAUGUUGUUUGUUGUUCACGCUUCAAUUUAUCCAAGGUAGACAUGUCCAAUAUUCUUCAUCAAUUGGCUAUUUUAUUUUAUCACUUACAUUUCAAUGUCAUUUUCGUUAUUUUUUGUAAUAAAUUUUGUGAACUUAAAUAUUGUUGCAAUUCAGUCAAACUUUUAACCAAAGGAACUUUCUAACAUGCACUUGGUUUUGUAGUGGUACACAUUCAACAAGUAUACUCCGAAGAGGGAAAAAUUACUGUCAAUUCAAUAUUCUAUAAUUUUAAUUCAAUUCAGUAUCUAUCAUAUAGAUAUAACUUUUCAUUACCACUUAAGAGUUUUGAAUUUUGUAGAAUAACUGAGUCGAAGUGGCAUUGGAUCAUCUGAAUUGUUUGUCUGGGCAAGCAAACUUAUUUAGUGAAUACAAAAAUAUAUGCAGAUGCAUAUGUCAGUUAAACAUAUAAUAUCAAGUUCUCAACUCAUGAAGUUUAUCUAAAUUUCGGUGUAUAUCUUUAUGUUGGUAAAGAUCUGAUAAACCAUCUUUGCUCAAUACUAUGACUGUUGAUACUGGUCGGCGAUUCUCUGCUGUAUCUUAUGCUCUUCAUUGGAUUUGUAAUUGGGUUUCUCGGGUUGGGAGUUUGUUGUAUGAAAUGUUUUAAAAAGCAGCUGAGGAGCUCACUAGCUGGUGAUUAGGGAUGGCUAUACGAACUGUAUCAAUUGCUUCUUCAUGUUGUAGUUAUCAUAUGGAUGAUUCAAGCUCUUUGGACAAAUUGUGCUACAGCUUUGUGAAGUAUUGGAGGUCAUUUGAUGCUUUGCUUGAGGUAUUUGUUUUCAUUGACCGUUCCUGAUUCAUGGCAAUGGAUUAAGUUAUAUCGAUUAUUUUAUUUGCUUUCUUUGUUGAAUUUUUCUAGUGUUUUGUCGUUUCAAAUAUGCAUAAUAGCCCUUUUUUAUCGAACAUUUAUUUCUAAGGUGAAUAUGUAGUUCUUUGUUUGGGAUUGCUCCAUUUUACAUUGUAAAAAGCCAUUUUGAAAGUGUUUAGGCACUAAUGCUCUUAAUGUUGUUUCAGAAUAUUGAUUUCAUAUAGGAAGAUGUGUUUAACAUUCAUUAGUCUGUAAUAUCGUAUGGUGUAAAUAUUCUAUGUGAUGCUUCGUGCUAGAGACUCGAGUGAAAGUUGUGCACAGUACAAGAGAUUUUGGCUUAAUGUCCUGCAUAAACAAUAAACUAUGAUGCUGGAGACUCGAGUGAAAGUUGUGUGCAGUACAAGAGAUUUUGGCUCUAUGUCCUGCAUAAACAAUAAACGAUUUUGCUGGAGACACGAGUGAAAGUUGUGUGCAGUACAAGAGAUUUUGGCUUUAUGUCCUGCUUAACAAUAAACGAUUCUGCGAUAUCCAAAAAUUUGUGAACUGUUUUGUGUAUUUUAUAUCCUUGGUCAUCAUUACUGAAUUUCUUCCACAUUGUUCCAUAAUCCUAGGAACACUGGUAUUUAUCUCUGUUUAUUUCAUCUUUAUUUUACUCUGAUUAUGUUAAAUUUUUGGUGAAUGUGUUGUUGUUUGGUUUUAACUUUUGAUAAUAUUUGCUGCACUGUAAUGACUUGGUAAUGCAGACAAUUUACUUCAA